UAAACAAUGCAAAUGAAUGAUAGGACCUUUGUUUAUUAUUAAGUUCAAAGUGUUUGAUGGACUCUAUUUGUAGUGUACGAAAACGUACGGCAUGUACUCUGUGCGCAAGAAACUAAAGGCCUGUGCUGUCAAAUCUUAGUCAUACAAGUAAAUAAUAUCUCCACUUUCAGUUUCCGCCAAAUUACAAUUUCACUAGUCAAUCAUGACACUUGAACACACAUCUAAGAGAAGUCUGCUACAUUCUACCAUCUCGACAAGGUCCAUGCAUGUCGUUGUUUCAACCAAGAAUCUUAAACAUAGGUAACGGUUAAAAGUCAGUUUUGACACACAUUUUCUCUGAUCCUUGCGAAAUGGAGAAGCAACCCGUUAUAAUUGAUCUAAAGCACCAUUUGCAAUCUUUUAUGAACAAAAACUGACUUACCUUAAAUUUUCUAGCUUUGUGCAACCAGAGUCUCCAACGCGGCACCAAUGUCCACUACGUUCUAGUGUGUCCCCUCAAAAUAUAAUAAUGUUGAAGACUGUGAACAUAAUUUGGUGAAGCAUCAAUCAACGGAAUCCAAAAUGAAAUCUGUCAUGCAUCUAAGAAUUCUGUGUAUACCAAUCAUGUUAUGCCAAUAUUCAAAUACUUCACUUUCUUCAAAGAGAAAGAACAAUUUCCUUUACCAGAAUCAUAUGACUUUUCUUUUAUCAUACCAUAUAAUAAAGUGUAUAAUACGAUUUGAGGAUUAAGAGAAACACUAUAUUGUUGAACGAUAAUACCUGUUAAAUAUUUCAGUAUUUUAAUGAGAAAAAGGAGCUGAAAAGUAAAAUUGAUGAAAUUGUUCUUGGGCAUACCUCAUACUUCCCCGCAUAGCUUUUAAGUCUUAAGGUGCAGUUAGUAGUGGACAUACAUUUUGUCUUUGUAUAACAAUAACCUUCUAGCUUCAUCUCAUGAACAGAAUUUGAUGGCUCGAUCCACGGAUACCCCUUACUACCUUGACCAAAGUACCUGAGCAGAUAUUUUAUCAAAACAUACCUGUACAUUAAAAAAUAGUUUCACUUGGGCAAAUGAGCGACUGUGAAAUCAAUUAUUAUUACUUAAUAGUUGUUGGUAUCCCCGUUAUGAAGAGUAAAAUGUUGAGAGAUUAUGUAGUCUUCAACAAAACAACGGAGUGCAAAGUGGUUCCUCUGUCGUAAUAACCAACCCUGUUAAACAGUAAAAUUGUGUCAUGAGAAAAAAAGGAGUGCAAAGAAAAACUUGUUACAACAUUCUAAAUGAAAGUUUACCUAAUGUAAUUGGCGCCGAUGGAUUUUUACUUGAAAUGCCUCAGCAACCUUCUAGCAUGACCUAGAAACUAAUAACCAAUGAGAAAAAACACACAUAAAUAUUCAUGAUUAAACCAUAUCUUAAAAGUAAGAUAGAUAUUCAUAAAUUUGUCUGGAAAACUAUAAAAUGGGAAUGGAGGAGAGUAACUCUUGGAAAAUAAUAAUUACAAGUGUGACUUAGAAACUGAAAGAGAAACAGAGACUUACGCCAAGUCCUGAAUUCUGCUUCCACCUACUUUAAUUAUUGGAAUAUGGGAAAUGUUGGACCAUUGGGAGUUUGGGCCACUCCGAUUUGUGCAACUUUCUUCUAACUUUGGGCAGCCUUUAAUUUCCAGGUUCCGUAAUUUGGUGAGGCGUCGCAUGGCAUCUCUGGAUGGCAUAUGCUUUAGAUUCUCGCAAUUCUGUAAAAAUAACUCUUGCAAAGAAACAAGGUCACCAAGCCCAUUCGACAGAGCUUCUAACAAUGGCCAAUCAUGGAUCAUCAGAUAUCCUAAUUUGGUGAGGCGUCGCAUGGCAUCACUAGAUGGAAGAUGCUCUAGUUUCUCGCAUUUCUGUAAAACUAACUUUUGCAAAGAAACAAGGUUGCUGAGUCCAUCCGAUAGAUCUUCUAACAAUGGACAAUCAUUUAUCCCCAAAUAUCGUAAUUUGGGCAUGGCAUCUGAGAAGUCCAUAUGUUGUAGCCGUUUGCACCCCACUAGUGUUAAUCUUUCAAGAGAAGUAAGGUUGGCAAAUCUAUGAGGAAGAGCCUCGAUUCCGAAUCCAUACAUUUUUAUAUCUGUUAGAUUAGAGAGUUGCGUAAGCUGAUAGGGCAGUGAAUCCCAGUGCAAGUGUCCCCACACCCCCAAUGUACGAAGGGACGACAGCUGCUGAAUGCCAUUAAAUAUCAAUUGGAAUGCCUCAAAAUCCACCAUAUCUGAGAAAGGACCAAUUUCCAAAUGACGUAACCCAGUGAGACGGUGAAGGCCGCUUGUGGGUACACAAAUCAACUUGGGACAGUGUGAUAGACCCAAAUAUGAAAGUGAAUGCAUUUCCCCCACAUGUAAAGGGAAGGAAACCAAGUCGUUACAUUUGUAGACACUCAAGGAUUCCAGAGACCGACAAUGCUCUAGCAUUCCACUUGGUAAAUUGGUCAAUCCAUCACAAUUCUGUAACUCAAGACUUUGGAGGGAAGUCAAAUAAUUCUCUCCACUAAGAACAGGAAAGGAACUGAAAUUGGGGCAGCUUCUAAUCCAUAAUCUCUUAAGAGAAUGGAGAUUGUACAAGCUCUUUGGCAAUUCAUGAAACUCUCCGCAUUUUUCAACCGAUAGGUGUUGAAGAGAAACGUUGUUGCGUAGCAUCUCAUCUGGAAAACAAGUGAGCUUUUUCACACCAUAGACACUAAGCUUUACGAGAGAUGUCAAGUUGCUGCACAAGUUCAACAAUGGCAUUUCACUGUCAACUUCGACAAUCACUAAUUCACUUAGGAUUUCAAAUUGAAUCGGAGUACUUUUUAACAAUUGACAGUUCGCAAUCCUCAACUUCUCAAGCUUAGGAAACAUUCUUACCCCACUUGUUGUUGGUAUCAAUUCCACUCCCUUCCACUCAAUAAGGCUACACAUAUCCUCCAAUAUAAGUUCUUUCAAUGACGGGAACACUUGGAUUUUGCUGCAUGAUCCAUUAUCAUUAACCUCAACACCAUAAAAUGUAGGCCCGAUGAAUUCCAAUUCAGGGAAUCCUAUCAGCUCAAGAUGCCGAAGGAACUUCAGUUGGCCAAGCGAUGGAAUUUCUUUGCACCUAUUGCAUUCACUUAAUUUUAACUUGACCAAAUUUGGUAGGGACUCUUCACUGAACCAUGAAGGAAAUCUAGUACCCAAAUAGUCCUUCACCAGUAAGAAUUUCAAGUUAGGAUGCGGUUGAAGACCAUCCAACACAUGCUCAUCAAUGGUUUCACAACCUUCUGGUUCAUCACGUAACCACCCAUAUGACAGCUUGUAAAUAUUCGAUUUCUCUUGUAAAUAUGCUGUUCGAGCUUCUUCUCUACUACGGACCAAAUGGAGAUCAUUGAUCCUCAAUUUACCUCUAAGCUUCUUCAAACAACCUAAUUCUUCUAUUCGGCGACCUUUCUCCAAACCCACAUUAAAAUAUCGUAGGGUCUGAAGACAAGUCAAUUGUCCCAUGUUAAGCGGCAUCUGAUACCAAGAAUGGCAAUAUAUGUGUCUCAAACUUAUCAUAUUCCCCAUCUCAAAUGGAAGUUCAUGGAGUAAAUAGCAACCAUUGACUCUAAAUGUUUGCAAAUUAUAGAGCUCGCAAAUGGAGUUGGGCAAGGCUCUGAUCUCAGUGUUCGAGAGAUCAAGAUAUCUCAAGUGUAUACACUUCCCAAUUUUGGCUGACAACUCUUUGAUUCCUGAACUGGACAAAUUUAAAACUCUCAAGAACUUGAAGCUCAACAACAUAUCUUCCGAUAUAUAAAUGCUUCUCCAAAACAGAGUGCACAAACGUCCUGGCUCAGUUAUCUUAUCUAUUUGAUCACUUGGUGAGUCCCAUCCAAAGUAUCGCACUUGAGAAAGAUUUUCUCCACCAUUGUCCUUUGGAUCAAAUAGUUUAUAUUUUAAGAUAUCCCCAGCCAAAUCAUGCACAAGAUCGUGCAUCUUACAGUGUGUUAUAUUGUUGUGCUUAUCUAACUUAACAUCUUGCAGCAAGGAAUUUCGCAACAAGAGUUGAAAGAACUUAUUCCCGAUGUCUUCCAUUACGGUGGUCUCUUGACAUGGAUGAAGAAGCCUUCUGCCAUCCAGAGUUGGAUUAUUUGGUCCUUUUCAAACUCGAAAUCUUUUGGAAACAUUGCAAAGUAAGCAAAGCAUUUUUUCAGAUGUGGAGAUGGUAGAUAAUCAUAGCUGAGUUUUAGUAUUUUCCUUAUGCUAUUUUCUCCGUUAUCAUCUUCACCUGCAACAAGGGGGUUUCCAUCAAGAAUUGCCUGCCAUUCAUGUUUUUCCUUGUUGCGUAAGAGGCCUCCCAACACACUUGCAGCCAACGGUAGACCUUGACACAUUUCCACAAUCCUGUUCUCCAUGCACACUAUUUCCUCUGGAAUUUCCCCAUCAACAAACGCUCUUUGUUUGAAAAUGGACCAACAAUGAGCUUCUGCUAAUUUUUCCAACCUAUGAGGACCUACUGCUGCUACUGUGGAUGCCACCUGUUCCAUACGAGUAGUCACAAGAAUGAAGUUUCCUCGGGAUGUAUUUAUUCCUCGCAAGGUGUCGACAAACUCUACCCACAAUGUAGAGUCAACACGCCAUAAAUCAUCCAGAACAAGUAAAUACUUUCUUCCUGCCAGUUCAUCUUGUAGCGUCUUGACUAUUAUGUCUCUGCUUUGGACCUCAACUUUCCUCUUUGUCAGGGAUUCGAGGAUUAGUUGAAGAAAGCUCUUCGUUUCUGACAUUUCAGGCAGGCACAACCAAACUCUCUUUUCAAAGUGUUUCUCGAUCUGUUCAUCGUUGAAAAUUCUCUUAGCCAUAGUUGUUUUCCCUAAACCCCCCAUACCAGCUAUGGGAAUGGUGCACAGAACAACAUCCUCUCUGAUGUUCAACAUCUUCCUCUUUAUUCUGCAACAUCGUUGUCUCUACCAACAACCUCCGAAGCAACUACUACAGAAUCUGUUUCUCGAAUUGGUAGUAUAUGCCGAGGAGGAACCAUGAGUGAUUGGAGACCGAGGUGUUUGGCUAACUUAUUGAUAGCCCUCAACUCUUCAUUGAUGUUGUUGAUUUUUCGUGACAUUUUGCUCUUAAAAGUUGUAUGAGAAAUGAAAUCACUGACCUUUUUCAUUGGGUUCUUUUGGAUCUUCACUUGUCUUUUGAUAGAUUCAUAUCUGAAUUCGUCAAACACAUUUUCAGCAUUUUCAGCAGCUCUCUCAAGCAUCUUGAGCCAUAGUUUCACAGCCUGAUCGUCAACUUGUCGUCUUUCAGCAUCAUGAAUGAAAGCUUGGAUCAAGGAUGCAUUUUGUGUAAGCAUUUCCAGAUCUUUCUUGCAGUCCCUUGAGCUACUGAGUUCCUCAAUAGUAAGAAAAAGCAGUUUUUCAAGCAAAACUUGAACAGUAGCACCAAUUACAGGAUCGGCCAUUGUUGUGUUUUGCUCAAAACUUGAAUUGUAGCACCAAACUUCUUGCACAAAGUCUUGUUCCUCUUCACCAAAGUCUUAUAAAAGUUUUUGCACAAGUCUUGUUUGUGGACCACUAAAAGGAAGACAAUAAUUCAUAGUACACAAUAAAAGUGAAAUGACGAAAAGACCCUCCUACUUUAUAUUGAUUUGUAAACCCAAUCCUCUUAUUUUAUCAGGCAUCACCUAGGCACUCCACUUAUAGUGGUUCAAACACACUACUUUAAAAGUUUAAACCAUUCCGACUCCUCUUGUUCAAAUAGAAGGAAAAGGUUAGAUUUGAGAUUUCUUCUACUAUUGCCCUGUCGUGCACGUGCUUGUCUUUCCCAACACUUUCUUCUUCCAUCAUGGCUCCUACAUUUCCUCUACUCACAGUUCUAUCCCAGAAACUGAUCUGGAGUCAGCAUAUUUACAGCUGUAUUCUAAGUAGUCUGGUUGACAAAUCAAAAUAAGUACAAGGAUCUCCAAUCCAUUUUUUCUUUUAUAAAUAAGCAAUUCGUGUUUGGACUGUGUAAACCAUGUGUAGAUUUCCCUAAUAACGAAACAAAAAUAGAGUGUAAAAAUGUCUCCAAAUUUACUACCUAAAGAUGUUAGUUACUUAACGAAAAAAGAGAUGAUCAAGCAAAUCUUUAAGAUGGUUCUAAUAAGAGGGUUGAAAUUAUUAUCAACUUCUGAACAUCUUUACCUAUGUUUGUGGUUUUAACUAUAAAAGGAAGUUCCAAUGAUCUGGAGGUAACGAAAAACUACAGCCACAUUAGUGGCAUUAUCUUUCUGUAUCAGCACAUUCUUUUCUUUCUUUGCAGUAAAUUGAGUUCACUCUUGAUCACACACCACUUUAGACUCUCUAAAGAGUUCCAUUUUCUCUCAGGCACAUCAAUAGUGUGGAAUGCACACCAACAGGUCAAAACCAAGAGUCCAUAGAAAUGAAUCAACAACAGUGGCUUGAAGCAGAUUUAUUGGAUAUUACUCCUUUCGACCUAUGCCUUUGCUGCUGCAAUUUAAGGCCUUAAACUCGGAAUGAACCAUGUUUUUGUUUUCCACUAGUAUUAUUAUGCAAUGUGGAUCCCUCAUGUCUGUGUAACUUUUUCUUUUUGGUUGAUACUUGGUAUCUGCUUUGUUUUGUGCUAAUUUGGCCAUAGAAUAAUUGAAGCAAUUGAGUAUGAUCGACAGUAGCUAAUUUCUUUCAUUAACAAAAUCUUCAAUUGAAUUGAGUCAUAUUUAGAGUGCAGAAAGCUCAAUUUUGUGUUGAAAUACACACAAAUUAUAGCAAUAGUCUGUCUAAAUCAUAAUAACACUAGUAAAUUACUAUUCAUUAGCAAGAACUUAAAACACUCUUCUUUACGGGACACCCUAAUCCAUAAUUAUUUAUCUACUAAUUAAAAAUACUAUAUAGUUUUUUUUUUCUUUCUGAAACUGCAUCUCUCCUUCUUGUUGCAUCUUUAUCAUCUUCAUCAAUUAUAUCUUCCUAUUGUUCAUGUUUUUAACUACUUGGAGUUCAAAUACAAUCUGUGUGAAAAAACAGAUACUAAAAAUUAUAAAAUCGUAUACAUAAAAUAGUGUUAUUAAAAAAACUUACCAGUAGUGUAAAGAAGGUGAGCAUGUAGUUUUAGAGAUGAGGUGUGAGAAGAAAAAGGAGUGUGAGGCUCCCACUUUAUGUGUUAACUUAGGUACAUGUGGUGUAUUUGUGUUGGUUAUUUAAAGUUAUUUAGAUGUGUCGGUAGAAGGAAUUUAAUGAUGGUCCAACAUUGGAGUAGCUUUCGUCUAUCUUUACUUAUACACUAUACUAUUCUGGAAUGUCCAACAAUACUUAUCCAUUUUAUAAAACCAAUGAAUAAGAUGGAUUGAAAUGGUGCAAUUUCCAUAGAUAAAUUUCAAGACGAAAAGCAGAGCUACAUUAAAGAAGCUAUCAACUAGGCAAGGAUGCAGCAGAUAAGUAUUAAGUUCAAAAUGUUUGCUGGAAACAAAAGAACUCUAUUAGUACGAAAAAGGCAUGUACUCUGUCCGCAAGAAAUUAAAGGCCUCUGCUAUCAAAUCUUAGUCAUACAAGUACAUAAUAUCUCCACUCCAGUUUCCGCCAAAUGCAAUUUUACUUGCCAAUCAAGACACUUGAACACAUCUAAGAGAAGUCUGCUCCAGCCUACCAUCUCAACAAGGUCCAUGCAUGUCGUUGUUUCAACCAAUAAUCUUAAGCAUAAGAAAUGGUAAAAAGUCAGUUUUGGCACACAUUUUGUCUGAUCCUUGCGAAAUGGAGAAGCAACUCGUU
This 7696-nucleotide long non-coding RNA is filed under the name Solanum tuberosum (potato). RNAcentral's name for it is "long non-coding RNA (STUB_LNC010100)". Lineage: Eukaryota; Viridiplantae; Streptophyta; Magnoliopsida; Solanales; Solanaceae. The record is from RNAcentral.